Molecule: transfer RNA, 68 nt
Filed under: Pnyxia scabiei
Lineage: Eukaryota; Metazoa; Arthropoda; Insecta; Diptera; Sciaridae
Description: tRNA-Met
Rfam family: tRNA
About the family: Transfer RNA (tRNA) molecules are approximately 80 nucleotides in length. Their secondary structure includes four short double-helical elements and three loops (D, anti-codon, and T loops). Further hydrogen bonds mediate the characteristic L-shaped molecular structure. tRNAs have two regions of fundamental functional importance: the anti-codon, which is responsible for specific mRNA codon recognition, and the 3' end, to which the tRNAs corresponding amino acid is attached (by aminoacyl-tRNA synthetases). tRNAs cope with the degeneracy of the genetic code in two manners: having more than one tRNA (with a specific anti-codon) for a particular amino acid; and 'wobble' base-pairing, i.e. permitting non-standard base-pairing at the 3rd anti-codon position.
Source: RNAcentral
UAAAAAAUAAGCUAAAUAAGCUAUUAGGUUCAUACCCUAACUAUAUAGGUUAAAUCCUUUUUUUUUAA